AAACGAACAACAACUAAAGUCUUGACAAAUGUCGUAUAUUUUCAAGUGUGUAUGUCUCUUUAAGGCGUGAACGAGCCCAGGUGGGGACGCGCUUCUCUGGGCACGCGCUUUCUUUGUUCAGAGUUCUUCAUGUCAUCUAGCUGUUAGCAACGUCUCUCUUUUCUCUCGCUGAAUAAACAUGUCCAGAACUGAAGAAAUAGUCUUUUCUUCAUUCAAGUGUUAGCUGAUAGUCAACCGCUCAAAGGAAGAAGCCUUGUGAUUUUCCAGCAGCUUACAGGCAAGGACGCUCCAACGAAGCCACCGACAGCAGCAGCCCCAGAGGGAGCAGACAAAGAGAGAGAGACGGGUCCAGCAGUUGACGGAGCCCCAGAAGAACCGAGUGGACCGAGACUCUACACAAACAUUUAAUAAGAAAAGCUUUAACGAGGCUAAAUAAAAGACUGUUUCAAACAAGACAUUUGGGAGGAAAAUUCAUUAACAACAGUUUAAUAGACCCAGAAACAUUUACUAUUUUCAAGCAGCCUACUUCUUUGUAAAGUAGUAAAUCUCAAAAACUCUUAACCUAAACCAGUCUGAGAAUGGCAAUUAAGAAGACAAAUGCUUUUCCUUUCUAUGGCUAACAAACAGUCUGACAACGUCCCUGUAAACAACAAUUAACUGUUGCUUUCUGCUCAUUACACAGAAGAAUAAAUGAAAUAUAAAGCAGUGGUUUAUUUCAAAAUCAAUAUCGCAAUUUUCAACGCAAAGCUCUUUUCCUCAGCACUAAUGGAUUGUGAGAAUGUGAAAUGUGAAAUCACUGGUAAAUAGUAAUAUAGUAACAAAAAUUAAGGAAUCUUGUGUUUGCAAUAUUAUUCUAAGUCUUGGCAUUUAAUCUUAUUCCACUGGAAAGCCUGUUUAUUUCCUCUUAAAUGGUGCCAUAUUUCAUUCAAACGGAAACUGCUGUGGGUUGAACAGCAGAGUGGAGUUUGUGUGUUGCACCCAUGAAAAACAGAAAAUCUCUUUUUUCUGCUUUUGACUCUUUUUUGUUUUUGUUUUGUUUUUAUAUACUCCGCCUGCUGAUAAUCAGGUGCCUGAUUGGGACUUGAUUGUGAUCACCAGGUAUCUGUGAACAUGAACUUUGCAGUCAGCUGUCAGAAAAAUAUUCCUUAAACAACUACACAUACCUAAUGAAAUUUAUUAAUAAACAAUCAAUAGAUGCGUCUCUAUAACUGAAUAAUUUAUGGAGUCAACCAAAUUCAAGGUGGCUGCUCAAACCAACCCAUCUUAGAAAACACAAACAAAUCUGAAACUCAGUUCAUCCAUUCGUCUGUCUAUCAUCUGCUGCUUGUUGCAGAAUUGGAUCACAGUGAAAGCUGGAGAUGACUACAUGAUGACACCAGCAGGACCUCUGCAUCUACAACAGGGAUAGGCAACUGGCAGACCAUGGAGCACAUUCGGACCACAGGACGUCCUCAAACAGCAGAUGUUCUGAAGACAAACAGGAGGCAGACAGGAUGAUGCAACCAGGACAGGAGACACGAUCCAGACGCUCCUCAACGCUCCGAGGUUCAGAGAAGCAAAGGUUUGCCAUCGUUUCUUUUUUUUUUUUUAACAUUUCUCAAAUCCAAACUGCAAAACCUCAGCAGGUCAAGCUUUAAAUGAUUCAGGAGCUUGUUUGUUUGUUUGUUUGUUUGUUUACGUUCUGAUUGACAGUCGAAUCAAAUCUACAGGCUGGAUUCCCUGCAGUGAAGUCAGGACAGUUUGAGCUGAUCGGGGCUCUGCAGCAGACAGUUGCUGCUGAUCUGACUGGACAGACCCGCCCCGCCCCGCCCCGCCCGCACAGGAAGCAGCACCGUUCGGGGCGUUCUGAUUGGCUACUUGGAGGCAGCCUCCCCG
Molecule: long non-coding RNA, 1875 nt
Organism: Austrofundulus limnaeus
Lineage: Eukaryota; Metazoa; Chordata; Actinopteri; Cyprinodontiformes; Rivulidae
Exons: 3
Source: RefSeq, a predicted model, not a curated record